Molecule: transfer RNA, 64 nt
Filed under: Stenocranus matsumurai
Lineage: Eukaryota; Metazoa; Arthropoda; Insecta; Hemiptera; Delphacidae
Description: tRNA-Phe
Rfam family: tRNA
About the family: Transfer RNA (tRNA) molecules are approximately 80 nucleotides in length. Their secondary structure includes four short double-helical elements and three loops (D, anti-codon, and T loops).
Source: RNAcentral
AUUUAAAUAGCUUAAGUUUAAAGCGUUACAUUGAAAAUGUAAAUAUAAUUUUUAUUUUUAAAUA